GUCUCAGUGUCCGUGACUUCUGCUUCUGCUGAUUGGAUUAUUGUAAAUUCGGGUAGAAGCAUUCGAGGCUCCGCUAACAAGAGGAUCACAGCGCCAAGUAGAUCAGAACACAGGUCGCAGGAAUCAACACCCUACCCGUCAGCCACUCCCAGAGAGGCGACCCGCCGCCCCCAAGCAAGUACUCUCUAGAGUACUUGCUCUAGAAAAGUACUUGCUCUUUAGAGUAGCUCUAAAAAAGAGGGACAGUAGCGAGAACUUCCUCGAGCGGACGUGAUUCAGAAGUCCCCUAUUGUGGAGAACGUCGCAGCGAGUCUAAUAUAAUCAUUGGUGUCCGGUCAACAACUCUCCCAAAACACUUCGACGAAACUGCUGCAGCUCCGAGGUGUAGUGCUAUGGAGGGUCAGGGCGUUGUGGUGCAUGGUUAACCCCUUUGUUGAGUGACUCAGGCGACAUUAUUUUGUUUUUUUGCUGUGAGGUUAAGUGCGUAAGUUGACCUUCUCGUGCGCAAUACUGGGGGCUGCUUAUCGGUGUUUAUUUAGCGAUAAUACGAGUCAACAAAUCAAUUCCCAAAGUCAUGAACUGAAGACACAAGAAUUGAAGAUAUUACCAAAGGCAGGAAGGAGCUCCCGCACGUCACCACACAUUAUCGUACAUCCAUCAACCCAGGAGUGCCUCUAGCCGCCAUGGAGACCCUCAGGUCGUCUGCAGACUACCCCGACUACCCUCAUUUCUUCAACGACAGCUGGGACGAGCCCCCUUGGGACGAGGCGGCCGAGUCAGAGAUUGCCAAGUGGGUGAUGAGGAUGUCGCGGGGCGUGGCCAGGGUCAUCGCUGUGCUCUUCAUAGGCUACAUGGUGUUGGGGCUGACUGGCAACUUCCUCACUAUCCUGGCCCUCCUGCGCUGUCCUCGGGUCAGGAACGUCACCGCUGCUUUCAUUAUAAGUCUGUGUGUGGCCGACUUCCUGUUCUGCGUGUUAGUACUGCCUUGGGAGGUGUCAAGAUUCCUUGCUGGCAAGUGGGUCUGGGGAGAAGGCUGGAUCUGCACCCUUUUCCCGCUUCUCAGGUACUGGAACGUUGCCGUCUCUCUACUGUCCAUCGCCAUGAUCACUAUCAACAGGUACAUCAUGAUAGCCCACUUCAGCGUGUACAAACUGGUGUACAGGAAGGGUUGGAUCGCCCUUAUGAUCGCCUUCUGCUGGGUCUUCGCCUUCGUCAUGCUUCUCCCUACCCUUCUCAGCAAGUGGGGACGCUUUGGCUUGGACCGACGGCUACAGACCUGCUCAAUCCUGGACGACAGCAACAAGUCGCCCAAGCAGGUGCUCUUCGGGUUGGGCUUCUGUGUUCCCGCCAUAGUCAUCGUCAUCUGCUACUCCCUGAUAUUCUUCGUCAUCCACAAGUCUGAGAAGCGGAUGCGUCAGCACAGCACCCGAGGCAUGAACGGGGCGGCGCCCCCCUCCGGACCUACCCUCCAGCCACAGUCCAGAGUCACCACCAAGGUGGAGCGAGAGGCCCGGCGCCGCAGGAAUGAGUGGAGGAUCACCAAGAUGGUGCUCAUCAUUUUCAUCGCUUUUCUCAUCACCUACCUGCCCAUCACCCUCGUUAAGAACCUGGACAAGAAGGUGGAUUAUCCAGGGCUCCACGUGCUCGGCUACGUACUUAUCUACAUCUCGGCGUGCAUCAAUCCUGUCAUCUACGUCAUCAUGAACAGACAGUAUCGACAGGCCUACAAGACGGUGCUGUUGUGUCGACGUCCCCGUCUCCCGUCUCUCACCUCCUCCCACACAGAGCUCAACAAAGCUGCCUCGUGUCGCAAGUAUGCCCACCUCAGGUGCAACUCCUGCAUGUCCCAGCAGCCCUCCUCCAACACGCCCACACCCCGCCCACAAACACGCCCACACACACUGCAUGACCUCUCUUUUCCAAACAGAAACACCACUUUCCCAAUCCGGCAUCUGGGGUUCGACACCCCAGACACACAGAGUCUGGACACCCUAUCUGUAGAUACCAACAGAGAUACCAGUACCUGCAAGGAUUGUGAGCUGAUAAGAAGACACCACAAGCUCUCGUGUGUCGAAUGCCUUACAGCUAAGAACACCAGACGGAACACCUUUCAAAGUCUUAGCGAGGCUCUGGCUACUCGAGGGCGAUCUAUUGAGAGCUUCGCUAUGCAACACGUUGUCGAUCAUCUCCCUCAUCCAAUCCUCAACCGGUUCAUCCAAGUUGAAUCAUCCGUAUCCCUUGAAAAUGCUUCCUUGAGAAGUAAUACCCCAGCUCUAGCUGAAGUGUCUAAGUCUGCUAAAGAAAGUUCCCCAAACAAUUCCUUUGACGAAGAAACUGAUACGUGCAGCAAUAAAAAUACAUUAGCCAAAUACAUUAGUCUGACAACAACACAAGAAAUUGACCCACUCAGAAGCAAGGGAGAGUCUAAGACUCCUGAUCAAAACGGCAUCUGUUCCUUCAUAAACCCGACUUACACUCAAAGUCAAACAAUAGAACACAACCAGGACCAACACAACACAAGGAUCAACUUUAGACAACAGAACACAACCAGGGGUCAACAGUACACCAUGGAACAUAACCAGGACCAACACAACAACACUACAGAACACAACCAGGACCAACACCAUACUACACAACACAAGGAUCAACUUUAGACAACAGAACACAACCAGGGGUCAACACCAGAUAGCAUAACACAAGGGGUCAAGACUAAAUAACACAACACAAUAAGGGGUCAUCACCAAACAACACAACACAUCCCAGAUGUAUGACAAACUACAAGACACAAACACAACAUCAAACCCAUACACGACUACCAGGAUGGAACACCACAACAGUCAGAAUAACAUUGACUACACCACAACGACUGAAUUCAGCAGUAGGCUUCACCCAACCUCUUAAAACACACUAUCUUGAGGUUAUCUUGAGAUGAUUUCGGGGCUUUUAGUGUCCCCGACCAGGCCUCCACCCCCAGGAAGCAGCCCGUGACAGCUGACUAACACCCAAGUGCCUAUUUUACUGCUAGGUAACAGGGGCAUAGGGUGAAAGAAACUCUGCCCAUUGUUUCUCGCCUGGGAUCGAACCCAGGACCACAGGAUCACAAGUGCAGCGUGCUGUCCGCUCAGCCGAUCGGCUCCCACUAUACGAUAAAUCCGAUACAAAUUCUUUCUUGAGGAAAGGAAUCGAGACAUUUAAAGUCAAAGACUGGACGACUUUUUUUCCCAAUCUCAAACACAGAACUGAAACCAAUCUUACCCCCAACUCAAGAUGGAGUUUUCACCCUAAGAGGAUGCCCCAAAUCAAGAUAUACCCCCCCCCCCUCCCCUACCCUCGGUUCAAACACAACCCAUCACCCUGAUUUCUAGACGAGGCUGCGACAAGAGAGCAUCUUCAGGAAGAAACGUUUCAAGUUCUCCGUCGAAGUCUUCAGUCUCGGAAUGACGGAGAAGCCCGCCUUCUGGGGCUCCAUGCGUCGAAGUCUUCAGUCUCGGAAUGACGGAGAAGCCCGCCUUCUGGGGCUCCAUGCGUCGAUGUCUUCCAUCUCGGAAUGACGGAGAAGCCCGCCUUCUGGGGCUCCAUGCGUCGAUGUCUUCAAUCUCGGAAUGACGGAGAAGCCUGCCUUCUGGGGCUCCAUGCGGUCCCAGUGCCAGCCGUGCAUGCUAAGCUUUGAGUGCCAAGACUGAGACUGCAUGAUCAGUAUUCUUUCUGCAUGCGAGUCAUCUUUUGCACCGUCAGAGCGCGGGAAGGGUCGGAACAAGAUGGUGAUGGAGGAGCUGAAUGACAAGACCAUGAUGUCUCAAGUCUCUCUCUCCGACGCCGGCCCCUUGCCCGAGUGCCACGAGCUUCCUGAGGUCUUCCUCGACAAGUGACCCUCCACACACACACACACACACACACAAGUUAAUCUGUGUGGUUA
This is a non-coding RNA of Procambarus clarkii (red swamp crayfish), 3916 nucleotides long. NCBI's taxonomy places the organism in Eukaryota, Metazoa, Arthropoda, Malacostraca, Decapoda, Cambaridae. The record is from RefSeq and is a predicted model, not a curated record.